Cephus cinctus (wheat stem sawfly) is the source of this 5912-nucleotide RNA transcript. It is a transcript of the gene named glypican-6, with no coding region annotated. The transcript is spliced from 14 exons. Lineage: Eukaryota; Metazoa; Arthropoda; Insecta; Hymenoptera; Cephidae. The record is from RefSeq and is a predicted model, not a curated record.
UCUCCAUUGUAAUUUUCACGUUGCUUCACAGUGUAACCAGGAUUGAUGUGGCUUGGAGGUUAGGUGUAUGGGUAUCAUGUCGGGUAUCAGAAGGCAGCAGGUGCUUACAGAGAAGAAUGAUUCCUGGCAUUGAGAAUUUUAUUAAAGCCAUGGAAUUGAAAACAUGCGGUGGCGUCAGGAGCGGCAGGGAAGUUUGCUGCAGCGCCGACAUGGAAACGAGACUUCAGGCAAGAGCCAGAGACAAGCACGAGAAAGCGCUGAAGGAGACUCUGCAGCGUCUACAACAAUUAUUAGCUACGAGGGACACGAGGUUUCAAAAUUUCUUCAAGGAGCUUUUGGCCACCAGCAAGAAGGGCUUUCACGAGAUGUUCAAAAAGACAUACGGCAUACUCUACGAGCAGAACUCUGAAGUCUUCACGGAUCUCUUCAUAGAGCUUGAGAAUUAUUAUGCCAAGGGCACGGUCGAUCUGGACGAAGUCAUGGAAAACUUCUUCAAUACCCUGUACCAGAAAAUGUUCACUGUGCUGAACAGUCAGUACCAAUUUGACAGACAGUAUCUUGAGUGCGUGAGCAAUCACAUGAAGGAGAUGGCACCGUUUGGCGACGUGCCCCACAAAUUGGGGGUUCAGGUGAAAAGAUGCUUCGUGGCUACCAGGGCGUUCAGUCAGGCCCUGUCGAUUGCUGCUGACGUCCUGAAGAAUAUGCAGACGUUGGAAUCGUCGCCAGAGUGCGCUGCUGCUCUCACCAGGAUGACAGUUUGUCCUUCCUGCAGUGGGAUCCCAGGAAACGUUUUAGCCUGUGGGGACAUGUGCGCCAACGUGAUGAAAGGUUGCCUGGCCCAGCACGCGGCCCUUGACUCGGAAUGGAAUCAAUUUAUUAAAGCCUUUGACAAGAUUGCUGAUCGGCUCCUUGGACCCUUCAAUAUUGAGAUGCUGGUCAGACCCAUAAAUCUCAAGAUAUCCGAGGCCAUUAUGAACUUUCAAGAGAACAGUCAGGAAGUCUCCAAGGGUGUCUUCUCCGCCUGUGGACGUCCUGUUCUUGGUAGACGUCGCAGGAGGAACAAUCAGGAACUCGAGUUGGAGUCCCUGAAAUUCGAUCAGGAACCCUCGGCAGAGGACAAGACACCGACGGCUGUGAUGCUUGACAAACUCGUCAAGGAAAUAAGGCAGAAGGUCCGGGACUCUAGACAGUUCUGGGUCUACCUUCCUUAUCAACUGUGUAACAAUGGUCUGGUAGUACCACCCAGUAAUACCAAGGAAUGCUGGAACGGUACUCACGUGGAUAAAUACAUAUAUCCAGUAUCCUCGGACGGGGAAUCCCAGAAUCUUAAUCCGGAAGUACGUGCCUCCACGUUCAGACCGACGAUAGUCAGGGAACAAAUCUUUGCCCUGGCGACGAUAACGAAUCGUUUAAGAUCGGCUUACAGUGGUCAAGACGUUGACUGGAUAGACACAGAGGAAACGUGGUACGGUUCCGGAAGUGGUUCGGGUGACGAUGAAGAUGACGACAGGAUAACCGACGACGAGGAUGGCUUCGCCGAGAAGGGUUCGGGAUACGAACCUCAACCUGUACCCGAGAAGCCUUAUGUACCGCCAGAAGAGAUAGAACCCCCAAAGGUGAACACGGAACACAAAGUAACCAGCAACACGACCAGGACAACCGACAGCGGUGCAUCAAGACAGAAAAUGUCUCUGUCCAGGGCACUCACGACUUAUCUCUUCCCAAUAGUAGUGAUGUGGUUCGGCGGUUGUUUCACGGAAUGGCUGUGAUCGACGACGACGUCCUCGUCGUCGGAUGUCUCAUGGAAGAAUAUGUAAAUAUUUUCUGAUAUUCCUCUACCGAUCUGAUCGACGAGUGCGCAUCAUCGUACGCGCAUAGAUGGCGCCAUCAACGGCAACGCAUGAAGAAUGCCGGAUAUACGUAAUUAAGAAAGAGUGUGCGCGAAGGAAGACUUAAACAAACAAAAAAAAAGAAAGAAGAAAAAUAUCGGAGUACGCGAGAAGCACGGACUGCAUAUAUUUAUUGGGUUUCUCACGUACUCCUUAUGUAUUUGAUGAAACGCCAUUGGCCAAACGCAAGGAGGUUAAUUUAAUGUGGAGGUACGAAUGGGAGGAGAAAAAGAAGAAAAGAAAGGAAAGAAUGAAGAAAAUUAAAUACGCGCGGAAUACAAUAUAAACUCAUAUCCGGGUAGUAUCUUGUGAUAUGCAACAAAGCUAUGGUAUAUACCUGUGUUGCUAUCAUAACCUUUCAAAAGACGCGUCUAACUUGACAACAGUAUACAUAGUACCAUACUAUAUAUUCUAUACGCGUUAGGUAUAUUGUUCCCUGUCGCUUUAAUCUCAUCUGUUAAACGGAAGUUGACAUAUAUAUUUAUAUAUUUUCCAUUCCUUCUUUUUCUUCUUUCUCGGAGUUUUACACCGAGUGUACAUACGGAGCACAGGGUACCGUUGACAGUUCGCAUGCCGUGAUAUAUACUGUUUACGGCCUGUCAUAGCACCUCUUGUAUCCGGUAUUCAAAUUCAGCAACUAGGGAGUCAAAUAUUCCAUCCUUCUGUACCGGUACCCUUUGCUAAGACGCGCUCCCCCUGCCUCCUCUCUUACCCUCCGCCCCCCUAGCUAUUAGCUAUUAAGUUUUUCAAUAAAACGCGGAAGUACGUUCCUGGGAGUACGGAAUAUUGUUCUCUUUGAUUAGUAUAUCCGGUCUUGCGAUGAUUGUAUCAUUCUCUCUUGUCUUUGAUCUCUUGAUACGUUGACAAUCAUUAUUUUGUAUCUUACGAUCACGGUGGACAUGAAAAUUAUACGAGGGAUGCAUUAAAGGCGUUGCUUCCAGGGGUGUACUUUUUUUUUUCUUUGUCGUGUCAAAUAGGCGGCAUUUUUUUUUUUUAGAGUCGCGACGAUUACAUUUAAACGGGCUCUUGUGAUAAAAGCAAUUUAAAAUGAAACAAAGUGGGAAUAAUUGUGCCGCGAUGCUGACGGCGUUUUCUCUCUUUUUUUUUCUUCUUUUCCUUUUCUUCAACGCGAUUACACUUCGUAGGCGCGAUACACGAGACAAGUACACAGGAUAGUUUACAAGAUAUUGAAAGAUGCGAAUGGUUUUACUUUUAAGAAAUUCGAUAAUUACACAGACAUUUACACGGACAUAAACAAAUGGAGGCACGCGGCAUGAUAUAUGCUGUGUCUCAAUAAAUCCGGAGAAACACAAAGGCAGCGACACGAGCCGCGAGGAGAAUAGACUUUUUACAAAUCUAGUGAAAUAUUAAAAAAAAAAAAGAAAGAAUAUUAAUAACUAAUUAUUUGUAAUUAUUAUAUAUUAAUUAUUAUUAUAUAUAUGAAAUUAAUAUAAAUUUAAUAACAAGUUCGGGAUGUUUGUCGGGGAUCUUAGCUGUCUUGGCUAAAAGAUUUUUGUAUGUUCUCUUGCAGUCGUGAUACUGUAACUGGAUGUGAAUUUUUCUUAUAAAAAAAUGAAAUAAUUUGAAAAAAUUCCGUGGCGCGGUUGAUGAAAUUUAAAAAGACGAAAGCGUACAAUCUUUUGCGUUUUCGGAACGCGUGCGAAUUCGUUCUGAGAGUUGGUCUGGAAUUUCAUCGUCGCCCGAUUAACGGUGCUCUUUUCGUUUCGCUCGCGUCGAGUGAAAAAAUAUAAGAGAAAUAAAUGCAAACGUAAGUAAAUGAAAAUAAAUAAAAAUAGUGAUACCGUGAAUAGAGAGAAUCGCGAGUUAUUUCUACAGGGAACAGGGUUUCGAGACGCGAACGAGAAUAGCCCAAAAAAUAUUUAAAAAAUGAUAAAUAAACUCUUCGUGCUCGCACGAUCUCGACUUUUGGGGUGUGUGAAUAUUUUCGAAAAAAAAAGAAUUAAAUAAUGUGCGAAUGAAUAAAAUGGCCGUCGGGCAAAAUACGAUUCAGCGAACUCCGCUUUGUCGACGUUGUGCGUUGAGCGCGAAGAAUGUUUAAAUUGUAGCUCGUAAGUGAAAAAUUUGUAACUUUUGAAUAAGUUGACGCUCAUUGCGCAAAUGAGGAGAAUAAGCAACAAACGAUAACAAAAGCACGCAUAAGAAACAAAAAGAUUUAUUCGUAACGUAUUAUUGUUAGGUGUCCCUUCCAAUAUGGCGCAGCGGAUACGUCCUGGUGUUCUAUAUAUGGCGGGUGUAGACGUCAUAAACGCCAAUUAUCUCAGUAACAAUAAUGACGUCCCGGGAGAUGAGGACGAUCAUCUUCCUUAUUUUCUUGCUCGUCCUUCUGUGUAUUCACUUAUCGUCCUCGUCGGGACAGCGAGGAGGUUACGGCGUCGUUCUCAAAGUGCCCCAGUAAAGACGAAGACCACGAAGAGGUUUUUCCUGAACAAUCGCCACCUGAGGGACAUGCUGUGACGAUUAUUAACGAGGUCGCUGCCAUUAAGGAUAUCACACUGCAAAUGAAGAUCGUCCUGUGCUGCUUAUUGUGGACUAGCAUCGAUGAGGAAUGCUGAAGAUACGUUGGAAGACUUUUGAAUUCUUCUGCCAUUACCAGGAUUGAAGCUCCCACAAGGAUCAACGUAGUCAAGAGUAAAGAUAUCAACAGUAUUGUGCAGCUGUAAAGACUCUCAUCAUUGUAACGGAGUGUCCAUGCAUUUAUAUUGGCUGAUCUCAUCCUUUUAUUACUGGCUGAUUCCAGAGCAUCCGAAGCCUUUGCCAAUUUCUCACUAGCUGCACUGCAAGGAGUUUUUGAAUUUUUGCUUGUACCAUUUUCCUCCUCCAGCCCUUUAUAAUCUUACAUUCUCAAAUGGAAUUUCUGGUGUCCAAUCAACCCCUAUAUCGUCCUCCAAAGAACUUGGAUUACUAUUUGCCGAUAAGGGAUUAUUCAAUUUAAAACUCUUCUUACUCCUAUUGCCUGAAUCAUCCUCGCUCCAAAUUUUUGGACGAGACGAAUAUCGUCUCCUUGAUCUGAGAGGCUCUGUCUGCUUUAUCAAGAAAACUGAAUCAUCAUCUACCUGAUAGAAGUAACUUUUCCUGACGAUUAUUUUCACUCUGCGUACGCUGUCGAGUUUCCAUGGAUCGAUGAGUCUCUAAAAAGGCCUGCCUUUGACCACGAUCCGUUAAGUACUUUGUGUACAUCCCUGCUAGAUUAACAGCGACGUAGAGGAGCACAUUGGUCGACAACAUCCUAGCGACACAUGCUAGUUCCUGGAGGUUGAAUUUGCCAAGAGAGUUGCUAUCGCCAUUGCUGUAUGUGUAAGGGCUGUGCCAAAUCCUGCCAGCACGCACCAUCUUAAUGGUAAUGGUAACAUGGCAUAAGGGGCAUACACAACGAAUAAUAUGUACCACAUUAGUCGUUGCUGACUAGAAAAAUUCAGACCUGCUCCUAUAAAUCCUGCAAGAGUUAGAUUAUUAAGUGACACUUUAUUUGCUUCUUUAAUACUCUACCAUUUUUUAUGAAUCAAUAAAUAACGUUCAAUGUUAUUCGCCGAAGAAUUUCAGUCUGGGUAUCUGGCUACUUUAGCAGUGAACAUACAGAGAGACUGAGCUUGAGAAAACAUUAGAAACAUCCUCAAGGGAGUUUUCUAUGUUUUAUGUAUUAUUCCUGUAUUUUUAGUAAUUGCUAUUUUCCUAUCUGGGAGUAACAGGUGGCCUCCAUUGGUGUAACGCGCUUCACUGGAUAUCGUCUGAAUUUAUCGAUUAGAACUGUCAAUGGUUUCGGUUCACUGAAUAAAAUAAAAUUAAUACUCAGGCCUUUCAACGAUAUUUCCAACGAUUCUAUAAGUGGACCGAAUACACAGUUCUGACGGAUACAUUACCUUGUGAGUUUAUUAAUAACCAGGUAAAGAUAGAAGCCCAGUAGAGAUAAUUGUUUGAGAAACAUCGCCAGCAACCCAGAACACAUAUUAUUAUAUUUGCUGCCAUACAGCACACUGUCCAGGAUAAAGACUCGAUGAGACCGUC